RNAcentral lists this transfer RNA (118 nucleotides) under Fusarium torreyae. It matches the Rfam family "tRNA". From Rfam's summary of the family: Transfer RNA (tRNA) molecules are approximately 80 nucleotides in length. Lineage: Eukaryota; Fungi; Ascomycota; Sordariomycetes; Hypocreales; Nectriaceae. The record is from Rfam by way of RNAcentral.
GUCAAGAUGGCCGAGCGGUUAAGGCGCUGCACUCAAGAUCCUUGCGUGAUCUUUCCCAGAGGACAUGGGACGCAUUGCAGUAUCGAAAGAUGCCUGGGUUCGAAUCCCAGUCUUGACA